UACGUAUGGUGCAAGCGUUAUCCGGAUUUACUGGGUGUAAAGGGAGCGCAGGCGGCGCGGCAAGUCCGAUGUGAAAACCCCCGGCUCAACCGGGGGACUGCAUUGGAAACUACCGGGCUGGAGUGCCGGAGAGGUAGGCGGAAUUCCUGGUGUAGCGGUGAAAUGCGUAGAUAUCAGGAGGAACACCAGUGGCGAAGGCGGCCUACUGGACGGUGACUGACGCUGAGGCACGAAAGCGUGGGGAGCAAACAGG
RNAcentral lists this ribosomal RNA (253 nucleotides) under uncultured bacterium. Its description in RNAcentral is "partial 16S ribosomal RNA". It matches the Rfam family "Bacterial small subunit ribosomal RNA", at positions 524 to 776 of the family's 1533-position model. The record is from RNAcentral.